AGAGUUUGAUCCUGGCUCAGGACGAACGCUGGCGGCGUGCUUAACACAUGCAAGUCGAACGAAAAGACGGAAAGAGCUUGCUCUUUUCAGAAUUGAUUGGCAAACGGGUGAGUAACACGUAAACAACCUGCCUUCAGGAUGGGGACAACAGACGGAAACGACUGCUAAUACCGAAUAAGUUCCAAGAGCCGCAUGGCCCAUGGAAGAAAAGGUGGCCUCUACCUGUAAGCUAUCGCCUGAAGAGGGGUUUGCGUCUGAUUAGCUGGUUGGAGGGGUAACGGCCCACCAAGGCGACGAUCAGUAGCCGGUCUGAGAGGAUGAACGGCCACACUGGAACUGAGACACGGUCCAGACUCCUACGGGAGGCAGCAGUGGGGAAUCUUCCGCAAUGGGCGAAAGCCUGACGGAGCAACGCCGCGUGAGUGAUGACGGCCUUCGGGUUGUAAAACUCUGUGAUCCGGGACGAAAAGGCAGAGUGCGAAGAACAAACUGCAUUGACGGUACCGGAAAAGCAAGCCACGGCUAACUACGUGCCAGCAGCCGCGGUAAUACGUAGGUGGCAAGCGUUGUCCGGAAUUAUUGGGCGUAAAGCGCGCGCAGGCGGCUUCCCAAGUCCCUCUUAAAAGUGCGGGGCUUAACCCCGUGAUGGGAAGGAAACUGGGAAGCUGGAGUAUCGGAGAGGAAAGUGGAAUUCCUAGUGUAGCGGUGAAAUGCGUAGAGAUUAGGAAGAACACCGGUGGCGAAGGCGACUUUCUGGACGAAAACUGACGCUGAGGCGCGAAAGCGUGGGGAGCAAACAGGAUUAGAUACCCUGGUAGUCCACGCCGUAAACGA
Molecule: ribosomal RNA, 834 nt
Filed under: uncultured bacterium
Lineage: Bacteria
Description: bacterial SSU rRNA
Rfam family: Bacterial small subunit ribosomal RNA
Source: RNAcentral